AGAGAAGGUCACCAAUUCAAAAGGUGGUAAGCCAACGCCAUUGACUGAAGAAGCCAACGCUGCUACGUCUUUAAAAGUUGAGGCUAAAUAAUGUUUGCGAGGAUGCUACACAGAUAUGAGUGGGGCUAUGUAGAAUAGGUAAAUAAACUUUGUGGUAAGUUACUGGUUGAUUAUUGAUAACCUUGAGAAUUAGACUAAUGGUUAGGUAGUUUAGUUGGUAACAGUAGGUUGUUAGUAGAAUAAAUGGUUUAGAAUUCAAAUGAUCAUAAUCUUUGGAAUCUGCUGGCCGACGGUCCAUCUUCUGGUAGGAUAAAGAGGUUGAUGAAAGAGAGAUUGAGAGCCAAAGUAUGAGAGUCGUAAGCCGAGAUAAGCUUCGUGCUACUUCUUUAUUUUCUUUAUUAUUUUCUUAUGAAGAAUUAUGAUUGAGAGAAGUAUUAUUGAAUUGAUAAUUGUAGAAUGGAUUAUUUAGAAUUUAUUUAGAAUUUUCUAUGAAUGCUUAGGUUAAUUUUUAAGACCUUGGUAAAAUUAAAUUUUACCACGUGGAGAGCCAUUAUGGAGAAAUGGAGCAAAGUUUGAAGGCCACACAAUGUUUCUAGGCUAAUUGGAUAUUUUUGAAUACCAUGGUGAAGUCAAAAAUAUAAAA
RNAcentral lists this long non-coding RNA (643 nucleotides) under Physcomitrium patens. RNAcentral describes it as "long non-coding RNA (PPAT_LNC011607)". Lineage: Eukaryota; Viridiplantae; Streptophyta; Bryopsida; Funariales; Funariaceae. The record is from RNAcentral.